This 21-nucleotide non-coding RNA is filed under the name Caenorhabditis elegans. Lineage: Eukaryota; Metazoa; Nematoda; Chromadorea; Rhabditida; Rhabditidae. The record is from RNAcentral.
UUUUCCUUCCAAAAUUAGAGA